Molecule: transfer RNA, 67 nt
Filed under: Marmota monax (woodchuck)
Lineage: Eukaryota; Metazoa; Chordata; Mammalia; Rodentia; Sciuridae
Description: tRNA.Thr
Source: RNAcentral
GGAUUGAGGCUCAGUGGUACAGCGCACGCCUAGUACAAGCGGGAGCCGGGUUCGAUUCUCAGCACCA